Molecule: transfer RNA, 73 nt
Filed under: Apaloderma vittatum (bar-tailed trogon)
Lineage: Eukaryota; Metazoa; Chordata; Aves; Trogoniformes; Trogonidae
Rfam family: tRNA
About the family: Transfer RNA (tRNA) molecules are approximately 80 nucleotides in length. Their secondary structure includes four short double-helical elements and three loops (D, anti-codon, and T loops).
Source: Rfam by way of RNAcentral
GGCCGGUUAGCUCAGUCGGUUAGAGCGUAGUGCUGAUAACACCAAGGUCGUGGGUUCAAUUCCCAUUCGGUCC